RNAcentral lists this ribosomal RNA (253 nucleotides) under uncultured bacterium. RNAcentral's name for it is "partial 16S ribosomal RNA". It matches the Rfam family "Bacterial small subunit ribosomal RNA", at positions 524 to 776 of the family's 1533-position model. The record is from RNAcentral.
UACGUAGGGGGCAAGCGUUGUCCGGAUUUAUUGGGCGUAAAGAGCGUGUAGGCGGCCAUACAGGUCAGCUGUGAAAACUCGAGGCUCAACCUCGAGACGUCGGUUGAAACCGUAUGGCUAGAGUCCGGAAGAGGAGAGUGGAAUUCCCGGUGUAGCGGUGAAAUGCGCAGAUAUCGGGAAGAACACCAGUGGCGAAGGCGGCCCGCUGGGCAGUGGCUGACGCUGAGGCGCGACAGCGUGGGGAGCAAACAGG